Molecule: long non-coding RNA, 2764 nt
Filed under: Medicago truncatula (barrel medic)
Lineage: Eukaryota; Viridiplantae; Streptophyta; Magnoliopsida; Fabales; Fabaceae
Description: long non-coding RNA (MTRU_LNC003397)
Source: RNAcentral
UCAUUUUUAAUCGAUGUGAGACAUAAUCACUAACACUUGAUUUCCAACGUUAACAAAUACUACAAAAAAAAAUCAUAAAACUAUUUUUAAGUAGAGUUAACUUUUGUCAAAAAAAAAAGUACGAGUUAACUUUCUCGUGAUUUUAUAAAAAACUACACUUUUUUUCUUUGAUCGAAAAAACAUAUAUAUAAAUAUAGGUGGUUAUUCCCACCGUUUCCAACCUGUCUCUCCUCUAUCCCUAGGCCAAACUCCAACCAAUUUGAAUCUCAGUCCAUCUCUGGGAUUUUAGCCAUCUUAAAGAUCCAUAUCAGAUUUAAUCUUAUCGUUGUGCUCUCAGAGUUCCAAUAUUACUUGAGGUUCUGAUACUUGAAGACUAUUUGGGUGAGUGAUCCUUGAUUCAUUGUUGGUUUUGAAUAUUAUUCCUUGAUCCUUGAUUCAUUUUAGUGCAAACAAUUUUAUCACCACAGAGUUAUGGCUGAAUUUUUAUUUACUUUGAAGCAUGGUAUAAUUUAUCCGUGCCUUCUCUAAAUUACCUUCCCUCCAUUGCACACAUCUUUCCACCACAUGGUGCUCUGCCAAGAGAACACUAGUCAAACUCAACAGACACUCCACACCCAUAUUAAUUUUUUUUUUUGAACGGCCAAUAUAAUAAACCAAUGUCCUCUCAAGAAGAGAAAGACAUGGCUGAAGCAGUACAAGGAGCCCUACCGAAUCACCAACAAGGAUGCAAGAUAAACCACCUAAACAAGUAAGAAAAGCUAACAACCACCUACUCCUUAAACCAAAAAGGCAAGGCAAAAUAAAACAUAGGCCAACACACAUACAAUACAAUGCCUAUUAUAACACGUCAAAUCCCACCUUCGACACCCUACAAAAAAACUACCUACACAGACGCUCUCUCGGGUUUCAGCACCAUUCGUAAAAUAAGCAUGAUAGAACUUUUAGCCUAUUCAAACUCCAAUUCUACAAGAGAACCUUAAUUUCAUCAACAUCCUUAACCUUGUUGUUAAAGAUCCCGUCAUUUCUCGAUUUUCAAAUAACCCAAAUUACCGAAUGCCAAAUUAACCAAACCCCUUUCUUCAAUUUCCUUAAACGCAUCACCCCUGACCAACAACUGAUGUGAAUGAAUAAAUCCAGCGGAGUGAUAACGUGGAAUUGCAGCCACCGCAUCACAUCCAACCAAACUCUAGAUAUCACUCGACAAUGUAAAAAGAUAUGCAAUGUUUUUUUUUGAACAAUCAAAAAUGGAAUUAUAUUAACCACCAAAAGCAACUCUUUUGGCACAAGGUGUGCCAAAAGAUAUGCAAUGUUGUUUCAUCUUCAAGUCCGCAAAACAAACACCUCUUAGAGUCUUUAUCCGCCAAAUGUCGUCUUCUCGUAAGAUUAACCUUGGUUGAAAUACGAUCAAGAAGCUACACCAUUGAUGAUGAAGCUCUUCCAAAGAUUUCGAAACACCACCUCCUCCUAUCCACUCAAACCCCCCUCUACUAGCCACAAAUCUUGUAAGAUUUUGUAGCAAGAUUUCACGGAAAAAAGACCCCCCUCCUCCUGCUUCCACCACCAACAAUCAUCCACUCCACCCCUUCCAACCUUAAAAAAAGGCUUUGUAAAAGCUCAUUUUCCAAAGCAAACAACUCUCUAUAUCAUAAUUAACUUCAAGAAACUUAUUCCAAAGAGCAGUGUUACUUAAAGAAUAAAAAAUUGAGUUUUUUUUGAUCUACUAACCUCCACCCCACUUUGUCAAAAGAGUGCUCUCUUCGGUCACUAUUAUAAACAAAAGUUCAUUUUUUAGAUUCAUUUAAUAAAUGAUGUAUGUAGUCUAUAUAUAGGUCACAUACAUCAUUUAUUAAAUGAACCUAAAAAGUUAAUUUUUGUUUGUAAUAGUAACUGGAGGAGUAGAAUUUAAGUAUCUAACACCUAAACCACCUUCCCCAUUCAGCCCCCACUCACCACCACACCUACUUUCAUUGACAUAUUAAAGAAAGAAAUGUAGAAGAUAGAGAAAUCAUAAAGAAUAUAAUUCACGAUCAUUUGUCUUUCAAUGGUUAAUCAGAUAGAGGAUAUUGUUUCGUUAAAAGAUAAAUAUGUAUUUUAUUAGGAUUGUAUAUUUUCAACAUCUUCUAAAUAUAAAUUUGAAGAAAAUUAUAGCACAUAUAUUUAUAUAUAUAUAAACCAUUAUGUUUUCUGCUGAUCAGUUAUUUAGAACAUAGUCCUUCAAAAAAAAUUAUUUAGAACAGUGUCUUUCAAUCAUCAAUUAGUUUUUAUUUUAUUUUUACAAAUGCCAUAAAUUAGUUAAAAUAUGGAUAUUCAUUAUAUUAGCAUUGUGGUAUCUACGUAAAAAAUUAAAUAAAUAUAUAUCGUACAUUAAUUAUAAUUUACUGCAUAAAUCAUACACGUAAUAAAUAUUUUUUAGGGAAAAUUUCCUGAAUAUGUGUUGACGGUGUUGCCGUUGCAGGAAGUGGUGGCCGAGGAAGUGGUGGCCGAGGAAGUGAGGUUGUGGUUUGUGUUUUGGUAAAUAGAGAUGAACUUGCAAACUGAUUUAAAUUUAUCUGGGAAGAGGAUGAGGGAUAGAAAGAGGAAAACUAAAAGAGUUGCCAGAUAAGAAGAAUGAGAGAACCGGUUCUAUACCAUUAUGUGACAAUGGUACCUGAUUUCCCAUCGAUUACAUUUUCACUCCAUUUUUAAGUUUUUUUUUUCACUCUUUUAUAUGUAUUUUUUAUAUAUUAGUUUUACACAACUAUCUUUUUGCUAAAUAUCAUUGGAU